AUACGUAGGUGACAAGCGUUAUCCGGAUUUACUGGGCGUAAAGGGCGUGUAGGCGGUCUUGCAAGUCAGAAGUGAAAUUCCUGAGCUCAACUCGGGCGCUGCUUCUGAAACUGCAGGACUUGAGUGCUGGAGGGGAUAGCGGAAUUCCUAGUGGAGCGGUAAAAUGCGCAGAUAUUAGGAAGAACACCGGUGGGUAAGGCGGCUAGCUGGACAGUAACUGGCGCUGAGGCGCGAAAGCGUGGGGAGCAAACAGGAUUAGAUACCCGGGGAGUCCACGCCGUAAACGAUGAAUACUAGGUGUAGGGGGUAUCGACUCCCUCUGUGCCGCAGUUAACACAAUAAGUAUUCCGCCUGGGGAGUACGGCCGCAAGGUUGAAACUCAAAUGAAUUGACGGGG
This 397-nucleotide ribosomal RNA is filed under the name uncultured bacterium. RNAcentral's name for it is "partial 16S ribosomal RNA". It matches the Rfam family "Bacterial small subunit ribosomal RNA", at positions 523 to 918 of the family's 1533-position model. The record is from RNAcentral.